RNAcentral lists this ribosomal RNA (406 nucleotides) under uncultured bacterium. Its description in RNAcentral is "partial 16S ribosomal RNA". It matches the Rfam family "Bacterial small subunit ribosomal RNA", at positions 30 to 526 of the family's 1533-position model. The record is from RNAcentral.
AUUGAACGCUGGCGGCAGUCUUAACACAUGCAAGUCGACCGAGUGGCGGACGGGUUAGUAAUGUCUGGGAAACUUCCUGAUGGAUGGGGAUAACUACUGGCAACGGUAGCUAAUACCUCAUACCAUCCGCUUUACCCAUAUGGUAUUAGCUAGUAGGUGGGGUAAUGGCUCACCUAGGCGACGAUCCCUAGCUGGUCUGAGAGGAUGACCAGUCACACUGGAAGUGAGACACGGUCCAGACUCCUACGGGAGGCAGCAGUGGGGAAUAUUGCACAAUGGGCGCAAGCCUGAUGCAGCCAUGCCGCGUGUAUGAAGAAGGCCUUCGGGUUGUAAAGUACUUUCAGCGGGGAGGCGUUACCCGCAGAAGAAGCACCGGCUAACUCCGUGCCAGCAGCCGCGGUAAUUC